GUGAGGAAUAUUGGUCAAUGGGCGCAAGCCUGAACCAGCCAUGCCGCGUGCAGGAAGACGGUCCUAUGGAUUGUAAACUGCUUUUAUACAGGAAGAAACCUCCCUACGUGUAGGGACUUGACGGUACUGUAGGAAUAAGGAUCGGCUAACUCCGUGCCAGCAGCCGCGGUAAUACGGAGGAUCCAAGCGUUAUCCGGAAUCAUUGGGUUUAAAGGGUCCGUAGGCGGUCUUAUAAGUCAGUGGUGAAAGCCCAUCGCUCAACGAUGGAACUGCCAUUGAUACUGUGAGACUUGAAUUUUUGUGAAGUAACUAGAAUAUGUAGUGUAGCGGUGAAAUGCUUAGAUAUUACAUGGAAUACCAAUUGCGAAGGCAGGUUACUAACAAACGAUUGACGCUGAUGGACGAAAGCGUGGGGAGCGAACAGGAUUAGAAACCCCUGUAGUCC
RNAcentral lists this ribosomal RNA (445 nucleotides) under uncultured bacterium. Its description in RNAcentral is "partial 16S ribosomal RNA". It matches the Rfam family "Bacterial small subunit ribosomal RNA", at positions 354 to 796 of the family's 1533-position model. The record is from RNAcentral.